This 467-nucleotide ribosomal RNA is filed under the name uncultured bacterium. Its description in RNAcentral is "bacterial SSU rRNA". It matches the Rfam family "Bacterial small subunit ribosomal RNA", at positions 28 to 484 of the family's 1533-position model. The record is from RNAcentral.
GAUGAACGCUAGCGGCAGGCUUAAUACAUGCAAGUCGAGGGGCAGCAGGUCUGUAGCAAUACAGAUGCUGGCGACCGGCAAACGGGUGCGGAACACGUACACAACCUUCCUUUAAGUGGGGAAUAGCCCAGGGAAACUUGGAUUAAUACCCCGUAAAUUAUGAAGUGGCAUCACUUUAUAAUUAAAGCUCAGGCGCUUAAUGAUGGGUGUGCGGCUGAUUAGGUAGUUGGCGGGGAACGGCCCACCAAGCCUGCGAUCAGUAACUGGUGUGAGAGCACGACCAGUCACACGGGCACUGAGACACGGGCCCGACUCCUACGGGAGGCAGCAGUAAGGAAUAUUGGUCAAUGGACGCAAAGUCUGAACCAGCCAUGCCGCGUGGAGGAUGAAGGUCCUCUGGAUUGUAAAACUUCUUUUAUUUGGGAAAGAAACCCACAGUUUUCUACUGUGGUUGACGGUACCAGAUG